This 293-nucleotide long non-coding RNA is filed under the name Ananas comosus (pineapple). RNAcentral describes it as "long non-coding RNA (ACOM_LNC002469)". The record is from RNAcentral. Lineage: Eukaryota; Viridiplantae; Streptophyta; Magnoliopsida; Poales; Bromeliaceae.
AAAAAUAUUUAUUUAUUUAUUUCUUAAUGAAAAGAAAGGAAUAUAUAUAUAUAUAUAUAUAUAUAUAUAUAGAGUCCAGCUAUGAUGCUUAUUAAAGCACUAAGUACUUGGUGCUUUUAAAUUUUUUACCGUUAGAUCUAUUCCUCAUAUCAUUUUCAACCAUUAGAUUAUACUAUUCAACCAACCACUCAUUCAACCCUAGGAGGCCCACAUCAUCCUAACCGUAUAUUUCUUAAUCCAAUGACUAAAAAUCUACAAGCACCAAUAACUUGGUACUUUUAAAAGUAUAAGAG